RNAcentral lists this ribosomal RNA (286 nucleotides) under Clostridioides difficile. RNAcentral's name for it is "partial 16S ribosomal RNA". It matches the Rfam family "Bacterial small subunit ribosomal RNA", at positions 1 to 294 of the family's 1533-position model. Lineage: Bacteria; Bacillati; Bacillota; Clostridia; Peptostreptococcales; Peptostreptococcaceae. The record is from RNAcentral.
UUUUAUUUGAGAGUUUGAUCCUGGCUCAGGAUGAACGCUGGCGGCGUGCCUAACACAUGCAAGUUGAGCGAUUUACUUCGGUAAAGAGCGGCGGACGGGUGAGUAACGCGUGGGUAACCUACCCUGUACACACGGAUAACAUACCGAAAGGUAUGCUAAUACGGGAUAAUAUAUUUGAGAGGCAUCUCUUGAAUAUCAAAGGUGGGCCAGUACAGGAUGGACCCGCGUCUGAUUAGCUAGUUGGUAAGGUAACGGCUUACCAAGGCGACGAUCAGUAGCCGACCUG